RNAcentral lists this ribosomal RNA (454 nucleotides) under uncultured bacterium. RNAcentral's name for it is "bacterial SSU rRNA". It matches the Rfam family "Bacterial small subunit ribosomal RNA", at positions 917 to 1382 of the family's 1533-position model. The record is from RNAcentral.
GGGCCCGCACAAGCAGCGGAGCGUGUGGUUUAAUUCGAUGCAACGCGAAAAACCUUACCUGGAUUUGACGUGUUGGUAGUAGUGAAACGAAAGUGGAACGACCCUUCGGGGAGCCAAUGCAGGUGCUGCAUGGCUGUCGUCAGCUCGUGUCGUGAGAUGUUGGGUUAAGUCCCGCAACGAGCGCAACCCUCGUCGCUAGUUAUACGUGUCUAGCGAGACCGCCGCUAUCAAAGCGGAGGAAGGUGGGGAUGACGUCAAGUCAGCAUGGCCUUUAUGUCCAGGGCUACACACACGCUACAAUGGCCGGUACAAUGGGCAGCCAAAGGGUGACCUGGAGCGAAUCCCAUCAAAGCUGGUCGUAGUUCAGAUUGUAGGCUGCAACCCGCCUACAUGAAGCCGGAGUUGCUAGUAAACGCAGGUCAGCAGUACUGCGUUGAAUACGUUCCCGGGCCUU